Molecule: long non-coding RNA, 2094 nt
Organism: Planococcus citri (citrus mealybug)
Lineage: Eukaryota; Metazoa; Arthropoda; Insecta; Hemiptera; Pseudococcidae
Exons: 2
Source: RefSeq, a predicted model, not a curated record
CAGCCAUUCUGGAGCAAAUUCAAAAUUCUGGAGAAAUUUAAAAAUCGCGCUGGAGGCUCCAGAAUGGCUGCAAAUGGCGAAAUUUUGAUUUGGUGGGUUAAUAUCAGUUUUAGGACUUAUUUUGAACAUUUUUAUUGAUCAAGUACGUACUUUUUUUUAAAAAAAAAAGCAUAAAUCACCAAAAUAGUCAAUUUUGGAUUUUCAAAAAUUCACCAAAAAUCGAAAAAUGAACUUGGGUAGCUGAAAAUUUGGAUUUGGGGUUUUAGAACAUGCUCUUUCCAAAAAUUGCGGUCCCGUUCAAAUCGGAGGCGGACACCUCGAGAGGUUCCCUUGUUUGGUAGAGAAUGAUUUCAUUGGAAGUGUUUUUUUUUGUUUUUUUUUUAUAUAAUAUGGGUACUUUGAAGAAUCGUGGCUUCCUCCUCUGAAUACCAGAGGGCCUUAGAAAAAUGUUGGAUGAGUUUCAACUCAAAAAUCAAAACCAACAAUAUAUGUGCUAUGUGCUUACAUGUGAACAAAAUCAAAGAGGUUCGAAUUUUUCCAAUUAAAUCUGCUCGACCAAUUGAGAAAAUAUCUUCGUAAAUAAGAAAUUUUUAAUUAAAACAUUUCUGAGAUGACCGCUUGAACCUACUUACUUAUCAUAAUAUCAUCAAUCAAAUAUUUUUGUAAUAGAAAUUUGUUAGUGAUGGUAUAUUGAACUUAUGAUCUGCCUGCUGUAAUCAUUUUUCAAAAUAAAUUUAUUCAUUAUUACUCGCUUACUUUAGUUCAAAAUAGAAUACCUACAUAAAUUUUUAAUUUAUAUUCACUUGAAAGGUCGAGUUUGUUAAAAUCUUCAAAAUAUGCGCUGGUUCCUAUUCACAAUUGGAAUGAUCUCGAUAAAUUUAGUUUUAAAUGCAGUUCUAAUUGAAGGAAGACUUCCCACCGCCGAAGAAGAAGAAGCACUUAAGAACAUUCAAAAAAGAUAUCCGAAAUCGGCAGAUGCAUUGAGAAGAGCAUUGGAGGUUGUGAAUGAACAGGGAAACUUUAUAAAUCCUGAUAAUCCGGAGAAUGUAGGCGGCAGAACGAGAAGUGUUGAAUGAAAAUUCUGUUCGCGUCGAAUACAAUUUUCGAUUCAUUUAUGGGAAGCUCUAACUCAACGUAUACUUUUAUUUAUGUGUAAUUUAUUCAUAUGUAUGAUGCUUGCGCAAAAAUGAAUGAUUUUUGAAGCAAUAGAAUUGCUUUCUUAAAUUACGGAAAAAUAUCUUCAUUCCUCCAUAUCUUCUGUCAUCUUUCUACAUCUACUUCAAAAUUUUUUUACUAGGAACCUCGUAAGUGAAAACCUUCGAAAUUUCAUAAAAUACCAUUUAAAUAUCAAAAUGCAAGUUUUCAACAACACUGAUCUCAAUUCUGUGACUCGUUUGGCCCAAUAACCAAUAUUAAAGCCCCCUAAAAGGGGCUUGCGUCCCUGAAUUUAAAAAAAACGCCAUCAAUUUUGAUUUCGUGGUUCAAUAGACUUCAUAGGAUUGACUCUGAUCAACUUUCCGUUGAUUAAAAAUACAUCAUUCAAACCAUACUCGAAUAGAAAAACAAGAAAGUACGUGUAAACACUUUUAUCAAAGAUAAACUAGGUACCUUUAGAGAAAAUCAAAUAAAACCCACAACACAACAUGUUUAUCGAUUAAAUGCACUUCCCGUACUGACGCACGAACUGAAAUUCUCACGUUUCAGUGAAAAUUUCCCUUCACUUAGCACCUAAUCAUGUUUACGAAACAUUCUCGUCUAACGUUAGGGCGCCUUUACAUACUACAAUGUAAGUUUACAGAUAAAAUCCCCGAUUACACUGAUCGAAAAACACGUACAAAAUACACAAAUACUAGGAAGUUUUUACAGUGUUAUAUUAUCAAGUGGAAUAAACACAAUAAAUUAAACAUAAAACAAAUGCAUAUCAGCUGAUCUCAAAGCUGAAUAAAUAUUCCUCGCUCUUUCUCUGUCUCUCGUAUUCGAAUAAUUCGAUACAUUAAAAUUGGGAUAAAAAUUCGGGAAAACUUGUUUACAAAAAAGGAAAAAAAAAAGGAAGGUAACCGACGAUGCUAAUUUUUUCUCCGCUGCUCUACACCG